GUCCACGCCGUAAACUAUGAUUACUAGGUGUCCGGGAUGUUAACCUCCUGGGUACCGAAGCUCACGCAUUAAGUAAUCCGCCUGGGGAGUACGGUCGCAAGACUAAAACUCAAAGGAAUUGACGGGGCCCGCACAAGCGGUGGAGUAUGUGGUUUAAUUCGAAGCAACGCGCAGAACCUUACCUGGGCUUAACAUCCCCUGACAUCCACAGAGAUGUGGCUUUCCCUUCGGGGACAGGGAGAUAGGUGCUGCAUGGCUGUCGU
This 263-nucleotide ribosomal RNA is filed under the name uncultured bacterium. RNAcentral's name for it is "partial 16S ribosomal RNA". It matches the Rfam family "Bacterial small subunit ribosomal RNA", at positions 793 to 1055 of the family's 1533-position model. The record is from RNAcentral.